ACGCACGCUGGCGGCGUGCUUCACACCUGCAAGUCGAACGGAAAGGCCCUGCUUGCCGGGUACUCGAGUGGCGAACGGGUGAGUAACACGUGGGUGAUCUGCCCUGCACUUCGGGAUAAGCCUGGGAAACUGGGUCUAAUACCGGAUAGGAGCCAUUUUUAGUGUGAUGGUUGGAAAGUUUUUUCGGUGUAGGAUGAGCUCGCGGCCUAUCAGCUUGUUGGUGGGGUAAUGGCCUACCAAGGCGGCGACGGGUAGCCGGCCUGAGAGGGUGGACGGCCACAUUGGGACUGAGAUACGGCCCAGACUCCUACGGGAGGCAGCAGUGGGGAAUAUUGCACAAUGGGCGCAAGCCUGAUGCAGCGACGCCGCGUGGGGGAUGACGGCCUUCGGGUUGUAAACUCCUUUCGCUAGGGACGAAGCUUUUUGUGACGGUACCUAGAUAAGAAGCACCGGCUAACUACGUG
Molecule: ribosomal RNA, 464 nt
Filed under: uncultured bacterium
Lineage: Bacteria
Description: partial 16S ribosomal RNA
Rfam family: Bacterial small subunit ribosomal RNA
Source: RNAcentral